UACGUAGGGUGCAAGCGUUAAUCGGAAUUACUGGGCGUAAAGCGUACGCAGACGGUGAGAAAGGUCGGAUGUGAAAGCCCCGGGCUCAACCCUGGAACUGCAUCCGAAACCAUCUCGCUAGAGUAUGAGAGAGGGAAGCAGAAUUCCUGGUGUAGAGGUGAAAUUCGUAGAUAUCAGGAGGAAUACCUGCGGCGAAGGCGGCUUCCUGGCUCAUUACUGACGUUCAGGUACGAAAGCGUGGGUAGCAAACAGG
Molecule: ribosomal RNA, 253 nt
Filed under: uncultured bacterium
Lineage: Bacteria
Description: partial 16S ribosomal RNA
Rfam family: Bacterial small subunit ribosomal RNA
Source: RNAcentral